Molecule: small nuclear RNA, 104 nt
Filed under: Jaculus jaculus (lesser Egyptian jerboa)
Lineage: Eukaryota; Metazoa; Chordata; Mammalia; Rodentia; Dipodidae
Source: RNAcentral
GUGCUCCCUUUGGCAGCACAUAUACGAAAAUUGGAGCGAUACAGAGAUUAGCAUGGCCCUUGUGCAAGGAGGACACACAAAUUCAUGAAGCGUUCCAUAUUAAA